This is a non-coding RNA of Acanthosepion pharaonis, 92 nucleotides long. The record is from the annotation of a GenBank genome assembly. NCBI's taxonomy places the organism in Eukaryota, Metazoa, Mollusca, Cephalopoda, Sepiida, Sepiidae.
AACCCUUUCCCGUCACAUCAUCGAAGUUAAGCAACGUCGAGCCUGGUCAGUACUUAGAUGGGUUACCGUUCGAGAAUAUAAGGUGCUGUAAG